UCCCUGGUGGCUCAGAGGUUAAAGCAUCUGCCUACAAUGCAGGAGACCCAGAUUCGAUCCUUGGGUCGGGAA
Molecule: transfer RNA, 72 nt
Filed under: Ovis aries (sheep)
Lineage: Eukaryota; Metazoa; Chordata; Mammalia; Artiodactyla; Bovidae
Rfam family: tRNA
About the family: Transfer RNA (tRNA) molecules are approximately 80 nucleotides in length. Their secondary structure includes four short double-helical elements and three loops (D, anti-codon, and T loops).
Source: Rfam by way of RNAcentral